UAGGGAAUCUUCCGCAAUGGACGCAAGUCUGACGGAGCAACGCCGCGUGAGUGAAGAAGGAUUUCGGUUCGUAAAACUCUGUUGUUAGAGAAGAACAGCGCAUAGAGUAACUGUUAUGCGUGUGACGGUAUCUAACCAGAAAGCCACGGCUAACUACGUGCCAGCAGCCGCGGUAAUACGUAGGUGGCAAGCGUUGUCCGGAUUUAUUGGGCGUAAAGCGAGCGCAGGCGGUCAAUUAAGUCUGAUGUGAAAGCCCCCGGCUCAACCGGGGAGUGUCAUUGGAAACUGGUUGACUUGAGUGCAGAAGAGGAGAGUGGAAUUCCAUGUGUAGCGGUAAAAUGCGUAGAUAUAUGGAGGAACACCAGUGGCGAAGGCGACUCUCUGGUCUGUAACUGACGCUGAGGCUCGAAAGCGUGGGUAGCAAACAGG
Molecule: ribosomal RNA, 429 nt
Filed under: Bacteroidota bacterium
Lineage: Bacteria; Pseudomonadati; Bacteroidota
Description: Bacteroidetes bacterium partial 16S ribosomal RNA
Rfam family: Bacterial small subunit ribosomal RNA
Source: RNAcentral